Odocoileus virginianus texanus is the source of this 617-nucleotide long non-coding RNA. RefSeq lists it as uncharacterized. The record is from RefSeq and is a predicted model, not a curated record. NCBI's taxonomy places the organism in Eukaryota, Metazoa, Chordata, Mammalia, Artiodactyla, Cervidae.
CUCCCGGCUGCCGGUGCCAGUUUGAACGGCUCACUCCUGUUUCCCAAUGAGUUCUGACUAAACGCCAUCAACCAUAUGACAGGGUCUAACAAAUAUCAGCACUCUGCCAGGUUCAAUAAACACCUUUUUCAGGGCUAAUUUGUUAAGUGCACUGCCUGUUCCUGCUAGCCCUGGAGACUCAGAGGUGAGUGAGACAGGGCCCUGUCCGACGAUGACAAAAGUGGACUGAGGAGAAUUAAUAGACAGGCCCUGGAGGACCGCGGCAUUCUGACAGGAUUUCUCUCUCAACCUUGUGAGGACUGGACGGCAUCAUCAUUUAUGUCUCAAACCUAAGGCACCUUCUCAGAGGGGUCCUCCUGACCCUUCUUAUCAGAAAUGAAGCCCUUGCCCACCAGCCCUCUGCUUUCCUUCUCAUCAAGAUCAAAGUAGCUGGACAUCAACUCCAACUUAUAAGAAGACAAAGAUCUUGACUCCUGUAUUGGCCCAGGGCUGGACUCAAUACGUUAAUAUGUAGACCAUAUUAAGAACCAUAAGACACCCAGGGAUGUGAAUGUCCUUAAUGCUACAGAAUUGUACACUUAAAAUGGUUAAAGUGCUAAAUUUGAUGUCAUGUAUGU